Molecule: RNA transcript, 2782 nt
Organism: Etheostoma cragini (Arkansas darter)
Lineage: Eukaryota; Metazoa; Chordata; Actinopteri; Perciformes; Percidae
Gene: slc5a8l
Gene name: solute carrier family 5 member 8, like
Exons: 15
Source: RefSeq, a predicted model, not a curated record
AUGAAAACAGAACAACGCUUUUUUUGCCAUUAGAACAAACCACAGGAUCAUCACCUUAAAAAAGGUUAGGUUUAGUAACAAAGUAAAAAUUUGUUUUUAUUUUAUUUACUUUUAGAAUCACUGAAAUUAUGGCGGACUUCAGUAUUUAGUGUCCUUGAUGGAUUAUUAACUAAAGCGAACUAAUCUUUACAGCCUGCCUGAAAACAUCAGAGUAGACAAGACAACUGGCAAAUGCUGAAGAUGUGCUACAGUGGUAUGUUGUUGUUCUAGUUGAUAGUUGGAUUACCAAAGUGGAAAAAGCAGAGGACUAAAGCCAACUCGUUGGAUUUUUCUGUUCUGUGGAAGGUUCAAAGGGAAACUUCUAAUAUGAGUGCAGCCGAUUUAACUGUGUCUUACAGUUGACAGAGUCUGAAAUGCACUGACAAGUAUGUUUGUGGCUGUCUUUAGUGUGAGUUUAGUUUUUUGGUUUAUGGACAACUGAACUUGAGCACAAUUUCAGGAUAAACUAGAGGGAAGACCAUUAAACGUUAGCAAGAUUGCCUAAUAUAGAAAUCCUUCUGAAUCUCAGCAUUCUUAACGACAGUUCAGAGAGAAGUGUUGUUAAAAGGAAGCUCCUUCUGCUGAACUAACCAUGGUUGGUACAGGUGGCCCAGUGGCCACUUUCUCUGCGUGGGAUUAUGUGGUGUUCGCUGGAACAAUUUUGGUGUCAGCUGGCGUCGGCCUUUUCCAGGCCAUCCGAGGCCGCAAGGAGACCAGCAGCAAUGAGUUCUUGCUGGGUGGACGGCAAAUGACAGCUGUGCCAGUUGCAAUGUCGCUCACAGCCAGCUUUAUGUCUGGCAUCACAGUCAUCGGCACACCAACUGAGGCUUACCGGUUUGGAGCUGCUUUCUGGCUCUUUGGCUUCUCCUAUGCCAUCAUGUCUGCCAUCACCGCUGAGGUCUUUGUCCCACUUUUCUACAGACUGGGGAUCACCAGCGCCUAUGAGUACUUGGAGAUGCGCUUCAGCCAGCCUAUUCGGAUAAUUGGAACAUCUAUGUACAUCAUUCAGACGGCCCUGUACACUGGUCUGGUCAUCUAUGCUCCGGCUCUUGCACUAAAUCAAAUCACAGGGCUUGAUCUAUGGGGAGUGCUGGUGGCUACAGGAGCAGUGUGCAUCCUCUACUGCACUUUGGGCGGUCUGAAAGCAGUAAUCUGGACAGACGUGAUGCAGAUGGUGACCAUGCUGGCAGGUUUUGUGGCUGUUAUAGCUAGAGGAGCUGUGCUGCAGGGAGGCCUGACGAAGAUUUGGGACGACGCCGGCAAAGGAGGCCGACUAGACGCUUUUGAUUUUGACCCAGAUCCUUUGAAGCGUCAUACUUUCUGGACUAUCAUAGUCGGUGGCAGCAUCAUGUGGGUAUCCAUCUACUCAAUCAACCAGUCCCAGGUGCAACGCUACAUCUCCUGCAAAACCUUGCGACAUGCCAAGAUGUCUUUGUACGUGAACAUGGUUGGCUUGUGGGUAACCGUGAGUCUGGCUGUGUUUUCUGGCCUCACCAUGUACUCCAUUUACAAGAACUGUGACCCAUUUACAAAUGGUGAUAUAAGCGCCCAGGACCAGCUGCUGCCCUACCUUGUGAUGGAUAUUCUGGCAGACUACCCGGGAAUCCCUGGCUUGUUUGUGGCUGCUGCAUACAGUGGUACCCUGAGCACGGUGUCUUCCAGCAUUAAUGCUCUUGUUGCUGUCACUGUGGAAGACUUUAUUUUUCCCGUGUGCAAAAACCUCACAGAGAAACAGGUCACCUGGAUGAACAUGGGCCUGAGUGUAUUCUUUGGUGCCCUGUGUAUUGGAAUGGCUGGAGUUGCUUCAUUGAUGGGAAGCGUUCUGCAGGCAGCUCUGUCCAUAUUUGGCAUGAUCAGCGGACCUCUUCUUGGUCUUUACCUUUUAGGCAUGCUAUUCCGCACAACUAAUUCCAUAGGAGGACUUUCGGGAAUGAUCAUUGGUCUUGUGCUGACUCUGUGGGUGGGGAUUGGAGGCCAGGUUUACCCAGCAACAGCUGAAAAGACAAAUCCUCUUCCAGUCAGCACUGCGGGCUGCAACAACACUAUGGGCCAAAACUACACAACGACAGCUCCGUGGACCAGUCCUCUGACCUCACAGCCAAAGUGAUGUGAGGCCACCUCUGGCAGACUCCUGGUACUCUCUGUCCUACGUCUACUUAUCUCUCUUGGGGACACUGACCACAAUAGUGUCUGGCCUGCUGGUGAGCAUAAUCACAGGUGGAUGCAAGCAAGAAAAAAUGAACCCUGAUCUGUUUGUGAAGAGGAGUGAUCUGUUCUGCUUCAGCUGCUGUAGUAAAUCAGAGGCAUCAGUAGCCCCAGAAAAGGCUGCAACAGACUUUCAUAUGGAAGCUGACAACCCAACAUUCACAGACUUUGAAAUGAGGAGUAAAGAUGAUGAAAAAGCCACCAAACUCUAAUGAUGCUAUAACAAUACUUUUUUUUUUUUAAACAAAUAAUUAACUAUUACUGGUAUGUGCCUAUUUAUAUUGAUACGAAUGUGUUUCAAACAUGUUGCUUAAAUUAAAAUACAAAAUAAUUCAGACUUUACAAUAAGAAAGAACUUAACUAGUGAUAAAAUUCUGUCCUAACAAAAAUUGAAUUGUAUAUUAGAAAUGUUCCAAUACCGAUACUGGUAUUCGUUAUAUACCUCCGAUACUGCCUAAAACGCUGGUAUCAGUAACGGGAAGUACUGGAGUUUAUACACCGAUCCGAUACUAUGUAAUAAAGCCCUGAAGAGAAUCUA